RNAcentral lists this microRNA precursor (105 nucleotides) under Cricetulus griseus (Chinese hamster). RNAcentral's name for it is "miRNA (ENSCGRG00000021344.1)". The record is from RNAcentral. Lineage: Eukaryota; Metazoa; Chordata; Mammalia; Rodentia; Cricetidae.
GAAAUGCUUCCAUGAGAUCCAGCUAUAAGGCAUUUUCUCAAUUAGUAAUCAGUGGGGGAGGACCAGCCCGUGGUGGGUGGUGCCAUCUCUGGGAUGGUGGUCCUG